GAGUUUGAUCAUGGCUCAGGAUGAACGCUAGCGGCAGGCUUAAUACAUGCAAGUCGAGGGGCAGCAGCUUUAUARCAAUAUAGAGGCUGGCGACCGGCAAACGGGUGCGGAACACGUACACAACCUUCCUUGAAUAGGGGGAUAGCCCAUAGAAAUGUGGAUUAAUACCCCGUAAUAUAGCGGKGUGGCAUCACACUGUUAUUAUAGUUUYGGCGAUUCGAGAUGGGUGUGCGGCUGAUUAGGUAGUUGGCGGGGUAAAGGCCCACCAAGCCUUCGAUCAGUAGCUGAUGUGAGAGCAUGAUCAGCCACACGGGCACUGAGACACGGGCCCGACUCCUACGGGAGGCAGCAGUAAGGAAUAUUGGUCAAUGGACGCAAGUCUGAACCAGCCAUGCCGCGUGAAGGAUGAAGGUCCUCUGGAUUGUAAACUUCUUUUAUAGGGGGCGAGAAAAGGUCUUUCUAGAUCACUGACAGUACCGU
This 480-nucleotide ribosomal RNA is filed under the name uncultured Bacteroidota bacterium. RNAcentral describes it as "bacterial SSU rRNA". The record is from RNAcentral. Lineage: Bacteria; Pseudomonadati; Bacteroidota.